RNAcentral lists this ribosomal RNA (254 nucleotides) under uncultured bacterium. RNAcentral describes it as "partial 16S ribosomal RNA". It matches the Rfam family "Bacterial small subunit ribosomal RNA", at positions 524 to 776 of the family's 1533-position model. The record is from RNAcentral.
UACGAGCGGCCCAAACGUUAUUCGGAUUUACUGGGCUUAAAGAGCUCGUAGGCGGCUCAGUAAGUCGGGUGUGAAAACUCCAGGCUCAACCUGGAGACGCCACCUGAUACUGCUGUGGCUAGAGUCCGGUAAGGGAGCAUGGAAUUCCUGGUGUAGCGGUGAAAUGCGCAGAUAUCAGGAGGAACACCAGUGGCGAAGGCGGUGCUCUGGGCCGGAACUGACGCUGAAGAGCGAAAGCGUGGGGAGCAAACAGG